RNAcentral lists this unclassified non-coding RNA (245 nucleotides) under Glomus sp. RNAcentral's name for it is "partial contains 5.8S ribosomal RNA and internal transcribed spacer 2". The stretch from base 1 to 71 matches the Rfam family "5.8S ribosomal RNA", at positions 84 to 154 of the family's 154-position model. Lineage: Eukaryota; Fungi; Glomeromycota; Glomeromycetes; Glomerales; Glomeraceae. The record is from RNAcentral.
GUGAAUCAUCAAAUCUUUGAACGCAAAUUGCACUUUCUGGUAUUCCGGAAAGCAUGCCUGUUUGAGGGUCAUUUAAAUCAAAAUCGGUCUUGUUGCUGCUUUUCGUUUUGACGCUGCGGAAUUGAGUUGUCUUACCUUCGGUUAAGUGACUUACAAGUUUGCAUGAGUUUCCAACUUAUUUAAAUUUCUUACGUACGUUUGAGAUAUCGAAUACUUUAUUAGGUUCGGUCAUCCUCAUUUUUCGC